This 179-nucleotide ribosomal RNA is filed under the name uncultured Alphaproteobacteria bacterium. RNAcentral's name for it is "partial 16S ribosomal RNA". It matches the Rfam family "Bacterial small subunit ribosomal RNA", at positions 329 to 525 of the family's 1533-position model. Lineage: Bacteria; Pseudomonadati; Pseudomonadota; Alphaproteobacteria. The record is from RNAcentral.
GUGGAGACUCCUACGGGAGGCAGCAGUGGGGAAUAUUGGACAAUGGGCGAAAGCCUGAUCCAGCCAUGCCGCAUGAGUGAAGAAGGCCUUUGGGUUGUAAAGCUCUUUUAGUGAGGAAGAUAAUGACGGUACUCACAGAAGAAGUCCUGGCUAACUCCGUGCCAGCAGCCGCGGUAAUA